Sinocyclocheilus grahami is the source of this 472-nucleotide long non-coding RNA. RefSeq lists it as uncharacterized. The record is from RefSeq and is a predicted model, not a curated record. The transcript is spliced from 3 exons. Lineage: Eukaryota; Metazoa; Chordata; Actinopteri; Cypriniformes; Cyprinidae.
GAUUGCACCUCUCUCAAAAACCGAUAGGGGAGAGUACACCUGCAUGGCCUUCAAUAAUAUUACAGGCAGAAGCAGCAGUGCCUCGGUGACAUUAGCUGUAUAUGUUCCUGUCAGCAACGGUGAAUAGGAAGAAUCAGCAACCAAUCUUCAAUCAGCCAUUCACACUAACCUGCACUGCCAGUGGAGAUGUUCAACACAUUCAGUGGAUGAAGAAUGGCACAAACCUAUACGGCGACAAUAGGAUCAAUUUCACCCAUAACCACUCAGUUUUGAACUUCAACCCACUCACUCUAACCAAUAAUGGGUUGUAUCAAUGUCUAGCUAGUACUGCUAUCAACAACAUUAACUGUAAUUGAGGCCAUUGUGACAGUGGACAUCACCCCCGAUCAUCCUAUUCCUCUAGCUUCCCAAAGCCUGGAGCUCACCUGUAAUGUGAAGGGAGCCUACAACAGACUCCACUGGCUUCGAAACA